Molecule: ribosomal RNA, 253 nt
Filed under: uncultured bacterium
Lineage: Bacteria
Description: partial 16S ribosomal RNA
Rfam family: Bacterial small subunit ribosomal RNA
Source: RNAcentral
UACGUAGGGGGCGAGCGUUGUCCGGAUUUAUUGGGCGUAAAGAGCGUGUAGGCGGCCAGGUAGGUCUGCUGUGAAAACUCGAGGCUCAACCUCGAGACGCCGAUGGAAACCAUCUGGCUAGAGUCCGGAAGAGGAGAGUGGAAUUCCUGGUGUAGCGGUGAAAUGCGCAGAUAUCAGGAAGAACACCCGUGGCUAAGGCGGCUCUCUAGUACGGUACUGACGCUGAGACGCGAAAGCGUGGGGAGCGAACAGG